CAGCAGCCUCAAGUCCGGCACCCUCAACGGCCUCAACCCCCAGGAACAGGUCUCUUUGGUCUUGUACCAUGUCCUGCCGAGGUUCUACAGCUUGACGACCUUCCAAACUACGAGCAACCCGGUGCGCACCCAGGCGUCCGGCAACAAUGGAGUCUACAUGAUCAAUGUGACGACCAGCAGCAACCAGGUGAACGUGUCGACCGGGGUGGACGACGCACCGAUCAACGACGACCUCUACUCCGACUUCCCGCUGGCGGUCUACUCCAUCGACAAG
Molecule: long non-coding RNA, 274 nt
Filed under: Elaeis guineensis (African oil palm)
Lineage: Eukaryota; Viridiplantae; Streptophyta; Magnoliopsida; Arecales; Arecaceae
Description: long non-coding RNA (EGUI_LNC006798)
Source: RNAcentral